AAAAAAAAACUCGAUGAUAUUCCUCAUUUUCUCAUACAAGUUGUUAAUUUCUAGGACACGACUAACGAGAGUAGGUGUGCACAAAUUUUGUCGGCAAUUUGAACGAGAGAAGAGAAUAACAUGCCAUAAUGAUAGACACCUCAGCGGCUCAGCCUCCAUUUUUGACACUCUACAUCCUUAUAUAAAUAAUCUCCACUGGGAAGAACGUGCUACGGUUGGACUUGACUGGUGUCCGGCGGCUGAAAACCUCGAUGCAUCAAGUUUAGAUCCGGGGUAAAUGUUUUUAAGGUUCCACAUUAGAUAUUGGACCUGCGUUUUCAUCUUAUAUGGCC
RNAcentral lists this long non-coding RNA (332 nucleotides) under Populus tremula. RNAcentral describes it as "long non-coding RNA (PTRE_LNC002492)". Lineage: Eukaryota; Viridiplantae; Streptophyta; Magnoliopsida; Malpighiales; Salicaceae. The record is from RNAcentral.